CUGUCUGUCUGCCUAGAAAACUCAUACUCUGUUGUGUAAUUCACCCUCAUUUUGAAGGACUGCAUCUUUGCCUUUAUGCUCACCAACAAAGGAACACUUUUAAUGAGUCGUGGCCAAUUACUCUUGUGGGACAUGAGGACCUUCACAGGACAUGGUAAACACUAGAUGAGACAUUCCUGAAGGUCAGAAGUUACUGGGAUAUUCAUAGAGUGAAAGAAGAGAAAAGAAAAUAUCUGGAGGAAGGUUUCUUUCUGGAACUCCCCCUUCCCCCUAAAAUCUGAAAGCAGGAUGGAAUACAAUGAAAUAUAGAGUAUCCUGUUUGCAA
This 325-nucleotide long non-coding RNA is filed under the name Mus spicilegus (steppe mouse). RNAcentral describes it as "lncRNA (ENSMSIG00000024847.1)". The record is from RNAcentral. Lineage: Eukaryota; Metazoa; Chordata; Mammalia; Rodentia; Muridae.